AAGAAAUCAAACCGAAUGUCGGAGCCAGCAAAAAUGGACUUCUUAUGAGCCAGGUGGCCUACGUCCUGAACUACCGGGAGAGGACAUACACUGAUCAAAAAGAUCAUGAUGAAGAACAGACAUACAGAGACAGCAAAAAUAAACGUAUUAGUCAAGCGGCCUACUACCCGGGCUGCUGGCUGAAGACAGAAGAAAAUGACAAAGAUGUGGAUGAAGAUGUUCAUGUUGUGGCGGCUGAGAAAAUACCAGAGUCACCUGCCCCCAGGUAACACUGAAGAAUCAGGAGCAAGUAGUGGGUGGUAAAGUAUGGAAAAGUUCUAGAAUCUCACCCUCUCUGGUGUCUACCGUGGGCCAAAAGCCUCCAUUCCCUUGGCCACAAUACGUUCAGUUCAACCCAACUCAGACACAGGGCGUGGCAGCUGUUGUGGUUCUUUGUAUGUGCCGAGUGCCGUGUCUGAAUUCUGCCGGGAUAACUGAGUCUCCUUUCCUCUUAGCUCUUUUCUGCCCAGGGUGAUGAAUACCA
Molecule: long non-coding RNA, 523 nt
Filed under: Saimiri boliviensis boliviensis (Bolivian squirrel monkey)
Lineage: Eukaryota; Metazoa; Chordata; Mammalia; Primates; Cebidae
Description: lncRNA (ENSSBOG00000036489.1)
Source: RNAcentral